GGACAAUCUGCCCUGAAGUGGAGGAUAAUCCCGGGAAACUGGGGCUAAUACUCCAUAGUUCGUGCUGACUGGAAUGUUAUGCGAACGAAAGAUCCGUCGCUUCAGGAUGAGUCUGCGGCCGAUUAGGUAGUUGUUGGGGUAACGGCCCAACAAGCCUGUCAUCGGUACGGGUUGUGGGAGCAAGAGCCCGGAGAUGGAUUCUGAGACACGAAUCCAGGCCCUACGGGGCGCAGCAGGCGCGAAAACUUUACCAUGCGGGCAACCGUGAUAAGGAAACCCCGAGUGCCAGCACAGGCUGGCUGUCCGCCAGUGUAAAUAACUGGUGAAGAAAGGGCCGGGCAAGACCGGUGCCAGCCGCCGCGGUAAUACCGGCGGCUCGAGUGGUGGCCACUAUUACUGGGCUUAAAGGGUCCGUAGCUUGAUAUGCAAGUCUCUUGAGAAAUCCGCCAGCUUAACUGGUGGGCGUUCAGGGGAAACUGCAUUUCUAGGGACCGGGAGAGGUGAGAGGUACUGCCGGGGUAGGAGUGAAAUCCUGUAAUCCCGGUGGGACCACCUAUGGCGAAGGCAUCUCACCAGAACGGGUCCGACAGUGAGGGACGAAAGCUGGGGGAGCAAACCGGAUUAGAUACCCGGGUAGUCCCAGCUGUAAACGAUGCGCGUUAGGUGUGUCAGUGACCACGUGUCACUGAGGUGCCGAAGGGAAACCGUGAAACGCGCCGCCUGGGGAGUACGGUCGCAAGGCUGAAACUUAA
This 752-nucleotide ribosomal RNA is filed under the name uncultured Methanospirillum sp. RNAcentral's name for it is "bacterial SSU rRNA". It matches the Rfam family "Archaeal small subunit ribosomal RNA", at positions 102 to 859 of the family's 1478-position model. Lineage: Archaea; Methanobacteriati; Methanobacteriota; Methanomicrobia; Methanomicrobiales; Methanospirillaceae. The record is from RNAcentral.